UGGAAGGCGGACCAGCAGGAGCGGCAGGGGCAGGUGCUGGAGCUACUGCUCGCGGUGCUGCACAAGUCGGUGGCGUUGCCGUGCCAGAUGGCGGACGCCGACGACCCAGCCGCCGGCGCGGGGGGCUAGGUGAUGGACAUCGGCUGGCCCACCGACGUCCACCACGUCGCGCAUGUCACCUUCGACCGCCUCCAGGGCUUCCUCGGCCUCCCCGUCGAGUUCGAGCUCCAGAUCCCCUGCCCAGCCCCCAGCGCCAGUGCCAGCGUGUUCGGGGUGUCACCGGAGUCGAUGUAGUGCGGCUACAACGACAGGGGCAACUCAGUGCCCAAGAUCCUCCUGCUCAUGCAGGAGCGGCUCUACUCCCAGGAUGGCCUCAAGAUAGAGUCAACAAAGAUGGUGCUAGGAACUCAAAAAACCUGCAGUAGCAGUGUUGAUGAUGCUCCAAUUUCAAAGAAAGGUAAUAACAUGUUCAGUGCUCUGAAGGUUCCAGAGUCAUAAUUCCAACUCAGCUCAAUGACCUCAUUUGGUGUAAAUGCACUAGGUGAAGUGUGAAUCCAAGGCCGAAGCUGUGAAUCAUAUCAACAAAGAGGAGCAUAUUAUGUGUUGUAAUUGUACGCAUAUCUGGGUUGUAGUAUACUGAAUUGUAAUAGACUAAUGUAGUCUUGUUUUGG
Triticum dicoccoides is the source of this 671-nucleotide long non-coding RNA. RefSeq lists it as uncharacterized. The record is from RefSeq and is a predicted model, not a curated record. NCBI's taxonomy places the organism in Eukaryota, Viridiplantae, Streptophyta, Magnoliopsida, Poales, Poaceae. The transcript has 5 exons.